CCUACGGGAGGCAGCAGUGAGGAAUAUUGGUCAAUGGCCGGAAGGCUGAACCAGCCAUGCCGCGUGAAGGUCAGUGCCCUAUGGGCGUUAAACUUCUUUUGUGCGGGAGCAAUAAUGGUCACGUGUGGCCAGACGAGAGUACCGUACGAAUAAGCAUCGACUAACUCCGUGCCAGCAGCCGCGGUAAUACGGGGGAUGCAAGCGUUAUCCGGAUUUAUUGGGUUUAAAGGGUGCGUAGGCUGUGAGGUAAGUCAGCGGUGAAAUGCCCCCGCUCAACGGGGUGAAGUGCCAUUGAUACUGCCUGGCUGGAAUGCGGAUGCCGUGGGAGGAAUGUGUGGUGUAGCGGUGAAAUGCAUAGAUAUCACACAGAACACCGAUCGCGAAGGCAUCUCACGAAUCCGCGAUUGACGCUGAUGCACGAAAGCGUGGGUAUCAAACAGGAUUAGAUACCCCGGUAGUC
This 460-nucleotide ribosomal RNA is filed under the name uncultured bacterium. Its description in RNAcentral is "partial 16S ribosomal RNA". It matches the Rfam family "Bacterial small subunit ribosomal RNA", at positions 338 to 795 of the family's 1533-position model. The record is from RNAcentral.